Sitophilus oryzae (rice weevil) is the source of this 454-nucleotide long non-coding RNA. RefSeq lists it as uncharacterized. The record is from RefSeq and is a predicted model, not a curated record. NCBI's taxonomy places the organism in Eukaryota, Metazoa, Arthropoda, Insecta, Coleoptera, Curculionidae. The transcript has 2 exons.
UGAUUACCUUUUAUUUAAAAACUAUAAAACAUGGUUCGUCAGUGCCAAAUUUGUAAGAAAUUGGACUAUUUAAGUCCUGGAACAACAUUCCACAGAUUAUGCUGCCAAAGUUUCCUGAAUACAAUUCCGACCACUCUGUAUAUCAAGAUAUCCCCCAUUACGUACUAGUUUUUCUUAAUAAUUUUCUAUACAUUUUCCAACGCCAAGAUGUACCAAGCGCAUACAAAUACAUCAAGCUUCAAACAAGCUUGCACGUUGACAGUAAUACCUACAGUAAUAUUGUAUUAUAUUAAUGUAAUAUUUUUGAACCAAUGUUCAAUAUUACUGUAGUAAUACUGUUUAUACUCAUGCCUUUUAUAUUUGUUUGAAUUUGGUGCAUAUUUCCAUUGAAUAAAGUAUAGUCACCAUUACCAUUAUUAUACUUACUCUAUAAUAAAGACAGUAACGAGUUAAA